CCAAACGGCGCAUUAAUGGUUAAUAAAACCCAAUUUUUUUUUUUUUACUUUUCAGAUUUGCUAGAACGAAAACUGAAAGAGUCUCUCCUUUUUUUUAAAACCCCUUUCUUUCAAACACCCAACUCUUGGGUUUCUUAACACCUGGAGCGCCACCGCCACAGCCACAAAGAUCGACGGCCGACGAUGAAGGAGAGACCCCCCGGCGGCACGGUCACGGCCAACUCCUGUGAGUUUCUCCUCCCCUUAUUUUUUGCUUUUGAUUUUAUAGUUAUUUAAAAUAGAUUUGCAAAAGAAGGAAAAAAGAAUAAAACAAACAAAUAAAUAAAAAGAAAAAAAAAUGAAGUGUAAAUAACAAGGAUUUAACCCUUUAAAAUUUCUAUUCUUUUUUAUUUCUGAUGUGGGUUCUUUUACAAAGAAAAUCCCCCCUCUAAAAUCCCCUCGAUUCUCCUCUCCCCUCCCCCCUUUUUAACCAGCAUAUUGAUAUGGCUUUUACAACAUAAUAAUAAUUUUUCACUAUUUGCUACAGUAACUCGUGCGUGGCCCCUGUUGCUUUUCCAUAAUUGCAGGUGGCAGUGGUAGACAGCUGGUAGUGGCGGGCCCAGGUGUGGCGGCUAGGGUUUUUGUUUCCUUUUUUGGCUGAGAAUUGUUUACGUGUUGGGCCAUUGGGCUUUUAGCUUUUUUUGGGGGGGGGUUUGGUUUGAUUGUUUGUUUUUUUUAUUUUAUUUGGUAGGUAUGGGCCCGGGCAAAAUGGGCUCGUACACCUUUACUUAUCAAAUAAUCUCAACUUCAGUUAUUUCAACUACA
This 804-nucleotide long non-coding RNA is filed under the name Gossypium barbadense (sea-island cotton). RNAcentral's name for it is "long non-coding RNA (GBAR_LNC013945)". Lineage: Eukaryota; Viridiplantae; Streptophyta; Magnoliopsida; Malvales; Malvaceae. The record is from RNAcentral.